CUUUUCACACAGUAAAACCCUGCUUUACUUCCCUUUGAGUCGUCUGUGAGCCUAAAUUUUUGUGGCUGUGGGAAGGACAAGAACCCCAUCUUUAGCUGAAAUAAGGAAAAGUUCCGCAACAUUUUUGGCACACACCCUGGGGGCUCCGGAAGUGGAAUGCUGUCGGAACUGGACCUUGAUGAAGGAAAUACUUUCUGACUCAUUGGAAUUUGUUAUAGUCAAAUUUGCCUAUGUGAUAACUUAGGUCUUCACGAUGGCCCAGAGUAAGACGACGCAGGAGGACCCUUCUAGUCAUUUAAUUAUUGCUUGACCAGAACUGUGCCUUGUAAGGAAGAUAGUGAAAAAAAGGAGGUGUGUACAAUAAGCCCCGCUGGACUGUUAGUUCUUUGAGUGCAAGAAAUGCUUGCUGUUUGGAAACUUGUGAAGACCUGCAUCCCUUUGUAUCUCAAAUAAAGACAGAGGUGUUUCCAGACCUAAGAAUAACAGGAACAUGGAGGAGUGGCAUCUCCAGUGUAGCCACCCACCAAAGCCUCAUCCUGAACACUAUGGCCUAGUGGGUCACUUACAGGGAUGUAGCUGGCAUUGAUGUAGUCAGAGCAAGGAUCAUCAUCUACAUU
Molecule: long non-coding RNA, 617 nt
Filed under: Homo sapiens (human)
Lineage: Eukaryota; Metazoa; Chordata; Mammalia; Primates; Hominidae
Description: long non-coding RNA NONHSAT029418
Source: RNAcentral